UGACGUGCUUGCACUGAUUUCAACAAUGAAGCGAGUGGCGAACUGGUGAGUAACACGUGGGGAAUCUGCCCAGAAGCAGGGGAUAACACUUGGAAACAGGUGCUAAUACCGUAUAACAACAAAAUCCGCAUGGAUUUUGUUUGAAAGGUGGCUUCGGCUAUCACUUCUGGAUGAUCCCGCGGCGUAUUAGUUAGUUGGUGAGGUAAAGGCCCACCAAGACGAUGAUACGUAGCCGACCUGAGAGGGUAAUCGGCCACAUUGGGACUGAGACACGGCCCAAACUCCUACGGGAGGCAGCAGUAGGGAAUCUUCCACAAUGGACGAAAGUCUGAUGGAGCAAUGCCGCGUGAGUGAAGAAGGGUUUCGGCUCGUAAAACUCUGUUGUUAAAGAAGAACACCUUUGAGAGUAACUGUUCAAGGGUUGACGGUAUUUAACCAGAAAGCCACGGCUAACUACGUGCCAGCAGCCGCGGUAAUACGUAGGUGGCAAGCGUUGUCCGGAUUUAUUGGGCGUAAAGCGAGCGCAGGCGGUUUUUUAAGUCUGAUGUGAAAGCCUUCGGCUUAACCGGAGAAGUGCAUCGGAAACUGGGAGACUUGAGUGCAGAAGAGGACAGUGGAACUCCAUGUGUAGCGGUGGAAUGCGUAGAUAUAUGGAAGAACACCAGUGGCGAAGGCGGCUGUCUAGUCUGUAACUGACGCUGAGGCUCGAAAGCAUGGGUAGCGAACAGGAUUAGAUACCCUGGUAG
Molecule: ribosomal RNA, 746 nt
Filed under: Levilactobacillus brevis
Lineage: Bacteria; Bacillati; Bacillota; Bacilli; Lactobacillales; Lactobacillaceae
Description: bacterial SSU rRNA
Rfam family: Bacterial small subunit ribosomal RNA
Source: RNAcentral